Drosophila rhopaloa is the source of this 1699-nucleotide long non-coding RNA. RefSeq lists it as uncharacterized. NCBI's taxonomy places the organism in Eukaryota, Metazoa, Arthropoda, Insecta, Diptera, Drosophilidae. The transcript has 2 exons. The record is from RefSeq and is a predicted model, not a curated record.
GUUAGCUAGCUUAAUUUGUUUCGUUUUCUGGUAUUUAAGCUAAAUUACAUGACCUCAAGGUGCAUCCCAAUACAGUUCAGUGUGAUGAUUUUCCAACCUAAUCCCGAUUAGUAAGUGAAUGAAUCGGCGAACGUGAUUGCACGCCCGUCCCAUAAAGAGGGUGUGGCGGAUUGGACCGGACGGGCGGACCUGAUCCGCAUUUCAAUAUGUAUAUAUAUGUUGACCGAGUGCCCGGCAAGUGGGUCGCAUUGCAGUGAUGUAAGCAUCGGAAUAAUUCGCAGUUGACUCAUUUGCCGGGAGCUGAGCUUCAAGAUCAGGCAAAUUCAUAUAUGGUGCUCAUUAUAUAUAUAUAUAUGGUGCUCUUAUAUAUAUAUAUUUAAAUAUAAAGAAAAAACACCAUGAAACUCGAGAGUAAAAGAGGAAAAUGAGGCUAUUAUAUGCUGAUAAGGGAAUUUAUGAAAACAACAAUACUUCUUAUAAAUUAAGAAAGAAAAUAUCAAAAGACAUUAAUAUUCUUAAAGGAAAUUAAAGGAAAGGGAAAUCUUGUGAAAUCAAUGUUAAGCUAGGAUGCAAUUUUUCACCAAUUUCUCGGCUCAGAUUAUGACUGAUCGUUGUGCUGUUAACGAAUAAUGUAAACAAGCCCCAGUUGACUCAUCAAUGCAAAUAAAUAUUUGCAUUUAGAUUAUUCUCCACUGACUAUAUUAAAAGAGUUUUGUGUCACAACUUGUAUACCAUAUAUACAAAUAUUAAAACAAGAUUUGUCGUACGGUUAACAACUGAAUGUGAAAUAUAUAAUUAGAUAACCCAAUCAGAAAUAAAUAUACACAUUUUCGGGGAAUUCGAUUAAUUAACGCAGAAAGACAACAUUAUAGAUUAUAAUAAAUAAUGACAAAUCGCUUAAUAUAUUUUAGAUAAAAUUUGGAGCUUUCAGACCAAAUGUCAUUGCAAAAACAAAAGUUGUUCCGAGUGGCUUUUUAUUUUUAUAUAUAGUAUUUCAGCAUUAUCUACUGAUUUGCUCUCUUUCGAGCUCACAAUAUCGCCGCAAUGAUUUCAUAUGUGCUUGGUCCAAAAAUAAAACCUGGAUCAUUGCGCCUAAGUGGGACACAAAAAUAAUAAACUGGCAACUAACAUACUAACAUACAUAUACUUUUGAUAAUUUUGUCAUGAAACUAACUUUUACAAUUUUCAAGGCAAUUACCUUUAGUAAAACCCACCUGGCAAAUGGGAAAUAAAGGCCAGUUGGACAAAACAAAAUGCGAUUGAAAAGAAUGAUCUAAUGUCGGCAUCAAGUUGGGCUACAGUUGGCUUUUUAGCAUGUAUUAGGCCGUUGGGAACCCCGAAAAAAAGAAUUCAGUAGGGGAGAGAUGUUAUGACAUCAUUGAGUCGGGAGCACGCAUUAAUUCAAGACCUUCGCACCAACAAGAAAUUCAAAAACAGAACCGGGUAUGAAAAACAACAAUAACUCCAGAGACGCAACAGGAAAUGGAAUAAAUUCGGGGAAGACGAAAGGAAGACGUUUAUGUACAAAAAAUAAAUAAUUGGAAUACAGUCAGCACUUUCAACUCGAAGCUGCAGCUGCCUCAUAUAAAAUUUGACUUUUAUCCAAUGUUUAUUGAAAUUUAACAGAUACAUUUUUGGUAAGAUGUUUAAAACCAACUUUUGACUCUACCAUCUCUAAUAAAAUAUUUUAUUGCUAUUA